RNAcentral lists this long non-coding RNA (671 nucleotides) under Phoenix dactylifera (date palm). RNAcentral's name for it is "long non-coding RNA (PDAC_LNC006695)". The record is from RNAcentral. Lineage: Eukaryota; Viridiplantae; Streptophyta; Magnoliopsida; Arecales; Arecaceae.
UGAAUUAAAAAAAGCUGACAUCCAAGAGUCUUCCCAUUGUAGUUUGAUUGUCUAUUGAACCUAAGGCUCAACCUAACUAACAUGAACCAAUAUGAUCAUUAGUUAGAAUUAUUUAAUUAAUAUCUUGGGAGUUCAUGAUGCUUUUAACAUAAUCCUCUAUAACAAGUUAGAAGAAACUUUGAAACUAGAUUGUGUUUUUGAAAGGCACUGGAUGCAAUUUUUAUUGUACCACAAAAAGUUACAAUCCACCAAAGUUUUUUGUAUCUUUGCCCUUGAAAUGCUAUAACAGCACAGGUCCUUACUCAAAAAAGCUAGUCGAAAUAUAUUAUUUGGUUCUUUGGCCCCAUAUAAAUAUUCAAAAUUUACCAAAUGCAUAGCCGAUGAGAGAGUAAAUACAUGAUCGCAUAGAUCCUUACAUACUUCCCCCAUUUAAGCUAACAACCUUACCAAGCUAAAAGUCCAAAUCUAUUCACAAGUACGACAAAUCCAAUCACAAACACCACUAUCAACUCAUGGCCAACUCAAAUGGGCAGAAGUUGAACUGUUAAGAGGGCAGGAAUACUAUUGGCCGAUCUUGCGAAAGGACGUGGUCAGUUCAUCAAGUGGUGUGACCGAUGUCAACGCCAUUCAAAUACCCAACAAUGACCAGCGGUGCCACUGACGCCGAUCAA